RNAcentral lists this ribosomal RNA (501 nucleotides) under uncultured bacterium. Its description in RNAcentral is "partial 16S ribosomal RNA". It matches the Rfam family "Bacterial small subunit ribosomal RNA", at positions 29 to 523 of the family's 1533-position model. The record is from RNAcentral.
AUUGAACGCUGGCGGCAUGCCUUACACAUGCAAGUCGAACGGCAGCACGGGUGCUUGCACCUGGUGGCGAGUGGCGAACGGGUGAGUAAUACAUCGGAACGUACCUUAGCGUGGGGGAUAACGCAGCGAAAGCUGUGCUAAUACCGCAUACGCCCUGAGGGGGAAAGCGGGGGAUCGCAAGACCUCGCGCGAUUAGAGCGGCCGAUGCCGGAUUAGCUUGUUGGUGGGGUAAAAGCCCACCAAGGCGACGAUCAGUAGCUGGUCUGAGAGGACGAUCAGCCACACUGGGACUGAGACACGGCCCAGUCUCCUACGGGAGGCAGCAGUGGGGAAUUUUGGACAAUGGGGGCAACCCUGAUCCAGCAAUGCCGCGUGAGUGAAGAAGGCCUUCGGGUUGUAAAGCUCUUUUGUCAGGGAAGAAACACCGGCUCUAACACAGUCCGGGAAUGACGGUACCUGAAGAAUAAGCACCGGCUAACUACGUGCCAGCCGCCGCCGUAA